This 565-nucleotide small RNA is filed under the name Pan troglodytes (chimpanzee). RNAcentral describes it as "processed transcript". The record is from RNAcentral. Lineage: Eukaryota; Metazoa; Chordata; Mammalia; Primates; Hominidae.
UUCUAGACCAUUGAAAGCCUCUCAAAUGGUGAAUUCCUGCAUCACCAGCCCUUCUACACCUUCAAAGAAAUUCACCUUCAAAUCCAAGAGCUCCUUGGCUUUAUGCCUUGAUUCAGACAGUGAGGAUGAGCUAAAACGUUCUGUGGCCCUCAGCCAGAGACUUUGUGAAAUGUUAGGCAACGAACAGCAGCAGGAAGACCUGGAAAAAGAUUCAAAAUUAUGCCCAAUAGAGCCUGACAAGUCUGAAUUGGAAAACUCAGGAUUUGACAGAAUGAGCGAAGAAGAGCUUCUAGCAGCUGUCUUGGAGAUAAGUAAGAGAGAUGCUUCACCAUCUCUGAGUCAUGAAGAUGAUGAUAAGCCAACUAGCAGCCCAGAUACCGGAUUUGCAGAAGAUGAUAUUCAAGAAAUGCCAGAAAAUCCAGACACUAUGGAAACUGAGAAGCCCAGAACAAUCACAGAGCUGGUUCUUUGCCCAGUCCUAUAACUUCCUAAAAUUAACAAAGGGACAGCUACAGGAAGAGAUCCUGCCAGUUUUACUGAGAUAACUAAAGACUGUGAUGAGAAU